AUUUAUCUAAUAUAAUCAGUAUACUUGACUUCCAAUCAAAAAGUUUGCCAUGCAAGAUAAAUA
RNAcentral lists this transfer RNA (63 nucleotides) under Anaplectoidea varia. RNAcentral's name for it is "tRNA-Gly". The record is from RNAcentral. Lineage: Eukaryota; Metazoa; Arthropoda; Insecta; Blattodea; Blattellidae.